GUAUUUGUGCAUUUUCCAGAGUCGGUAAAAUUUCUACGGUGAAGUCAUUUCUAUGAAAUUCUGAAUAAUUAGCGACUUCUCUCUCAAUCUCUUGCCACCUAAAAAAAAUGAAACAAACUGGCAUAUUCUUUAUAUGCAUCUUAGAAUAUAUAUCAAACGGUACUUGAAUUUGUUAGGGAAAUAAUAUCGCAUAAAUGUGAAAUAAUAAAAAUAAUCUGAUUCCGGUGCGAAAUGUCGCACCGCGCUGAGACAGAAGUAAAAUUCCUUGGCUAGUUACCAAGAUUUUGCAUUUUUUCAGUAUCUGUAUAUUACAUUUUGGCUUCGAAAUGAUACUUCGUGAUCAUUUGGAUUAUCCUAGUAACUAAAAGUUAAUAGUUUUUCAUGGUAUAAUCCACUGCCAAAAUUAAGGAUUUCCGAUAUACGAC
This 425-nucleotide unclassified non-coding RNA is filed under the name Bombus terrestris (buff-tailed bumblebee). Its description in RNAcentral is "misc RNA ENSBTSG00005023812.1". Lineage: Eukaryota; Metazoa; Arthropoda; Insecta; Hymenoptera; Apidae. The record is from RNAcentral.